Molecule: unclassified non-coding RNA, 1190 nt
Filed under: Leguminivora glycinivorella
Lineage: Eukaryota; Metazoa; Arthropoda; Insecta; Lepidoptera; Tortricidae
Description: uncharacterized LOC125235316, transcript variant X9
Source: RNAcentral
CCGUCACUGCAAAUGGUCAUGUUUACUACACAAACUAAUCAAUUACGAAUAUGUGACGUGUUCAAAUACAGUGAAAAAGUGUGGAAAGUACAAAAUGUAUUUAUUACAAUUCAAUAACAUUUAUAUACUCUCAAUACAGUGUACCUUUUCGGAUUAAUGCUAUAGCUGUAAUAUUACCUAUAUGUACCAUGGUAUGCAAUAAAUGAUUUGUGUGUCAUUUUCAACCUAAAGGAUACUAAUAGUCGGUUGUCAGCAAGGCGCUCUUCCCAUAAUAGUUUCAAGAUGAAAUCGAUCUUAUCGACCACUGAUAAUGCGGUACCUUUUGAUUGAAAAUGUCACAAUUAGUUUUCAACUUAGGACAGCAGUAAUGUGAGGUCUAAGAAUUUGUUUCAUAAAGUGUUAAUAAUCGGCCGAGAUGGACGUGAGGAAUCGCUACCAUCGCCAGAAAUGUUGUUGUGUACGAGUGGAGAAGAUAUGUUAUAUUUUUGCCAUAAUUAACGUAAUCAUCAUAAUCCUCUCAGUCCUCGCCUGCAUCGCCACAGAAGCGCUCAUCGUGACCAGACUGGCAAUCAGUGUCAUUCAGAUCAACUUCUCACAAUUCUUGCCUACUUGGAUCGUCAUAUUGCCUAUUUACGCUGUAGCCUGCUUCCUGAUAGUUUCUGCGGUUUUUGCAGUGUUAUUGCUUCAAGGAAUUCGUUUGAGCAAGCCUAAACUGGUCCUGGCGUACCUAUUUUUCGGAUUGGUCGUGGAAACAAUAAUGAUCUUCUCUGCUGCCAUCUCCAUAGCCUUCGUCACGGUUAUAAGAGUCCCUGGACAAAAUAAUGACCUUAUAAAUUUUGGAAUAGCUCUGGCAUUCGGUAUAUGUGCUACACAUUACGUUUAUCAAGAGUCAUGCGUUGUAUUCCAGUGGAGGCGAUAUGUUUCUUCCAUGGAAUCAUCAACUGUGUGCUGUCUAUAUUCGGUGUGGUGACCCUGUCGCUGGCCCGGAUUAUUUUGGAUCCUGGAGAAGUUUUCGUGGAUAGUAUAAAUAACUCCGGUUUCCAAGACGGAUAUGACCUCUCACCGGACAAUCCAAUGAACGCCUACCCGGAGCUGGCAGCAUUUCCUCUGACCGCAUACGGGCUCGUUCUCUACGCCUUCUGUUUUGGAUCGUUCAUCUUCUCGUUACUUCUCUGCUAUGGGAUACACAA